UGAUCCAUAAAACUGACCCAUUUCUACAAUUUACUAACCCAUUUCAACCUGCUAUCUCCAAUUCUAUAUUUCUUGUAGAUGAGAAAUGUUUAAUAAUAAAAGAAACACUUUGUACUCUGACUUAUGCAUUUAAUAAUAGGUGAGAUGUGGCAAGAAUAAGUUGAAUCGGGAGAAGUUGAAAGUCCUCCACACUGCUGGCUCAAAGGCCUUCAGAAAAGUGCAAUAUGAUGAGCAAGACCGUGCCACUGGAGAGGAACUUGGACUUGUUGAGUUGUACAAAAAGACGCAUUUCAGUGAGAAAAAAGAGGCAUGGGUGCAUGCUGAUGCUGAGAUUAGACAUUACAAGCUUGAAAAGCGGCAAGAGAAAGCUAUUGAAGAAGGAUCUUGCCCGAUAUCUGAUGAGCAACUUUCUAUUGAGGUAUUUGGACAAAAAGUUGGCUACAUACGCAGCUUAGGGCGUGGUCGAAAACCAAGUACAACAUUAUCUGGAAAACUUACCCGUGCCCAACUCGAGAGGGAUAAUGAGGCUGCUACAAGGGAGGCUGAAGAGCAACGAAGAAUCAAUGAGGAGCUGGUGGGAAGAAUUCAAAUCUUGGAGUCAGAUCGCACGGAAUACAAUGCCAAAGUCGACUUCUUGAUGCAGCAGAUCAGUCAAAGAGUACCCUCUACUGAUUCUUCUUCUUAGUCCUGCAAGCUUGCGUCGAUUUAAAGCUUGGGAGCUCUCUGCUAGAUUUUGAAUGCCAUUUUAACGAAACCAUUGAGAAGAAGAUGCAAUGAGUUAAGUUGAGUUGAGUUGUUUUGUUAUGUAGGUAGAUAUAAUUCUAAUAACAAU
Camellia sinensis is the source of this 832-nucleotide non-coding RNA. The record is from RefSeq and is a predicted model, not a curated record. NCBI's taxonomy places the organism in Eukaryota, Viridiplantae, Streptophyta, Magnoliopsida, Ericales, Theaceae.